AUGGCGUCGUCUCAGCCGGCCAAGGCCAAGCCGCACGUCCUGCUCAUCCCCUACCCGGCUCAAGGCCAUGUGAACCCGUUGCUGAGGCUGGCCAAGGCCCUGCACAUGCGCUCCUUCCACAUCACCUUCCUCCACACCGAGCACAACUAUCGCCGCCUCCUCCGGUCCCACGGGCCGGGCGCCGUAGAGGAGGUCCCUGGCUUCAGAUUCGAGACAAUUCCUGAUGGGCUCCCGCCGGCAGACCUCGAUGCCACCCAGGACAUUUGGAAGCUCUGUGAGGCCACGAGGCGGACGUGUCCGGGGCCUGUCAGGGAGCUCGUCGAGAGGCUCAGCCACACCGAUGGCGUCCCGCCGGUGACCUGCGUCAUCGCGGAUGGCGCCAUGGGGUUCGUGGUGCACGUGGCCAAGGAGUUGGGGCUGCCAGCCUAUCUGUUCUUCACGACCAGUGCAUGUGGGCUCUUGGCAUAUCUCAACUUUGAUCAGCUUGUCAAGAGAGGCUACGUGCCACUCAAAGAUGAGAGCUGCCUCACGGGCGGUUACCUAGACACCCAUGUGGGCUGGAUAACCGGAAUGAUCAGCAACGUCCGCCUCCGUGACCUACCAACGUUCAUCCGCACGACCGACACCAAUGAUGUCAUGGUGACCAUCAACAUAAAACAGUGCGAGUUGGACGCUCCCGCCGCUGACGGCAUCCUCCUCAACACCUUCGAUGACCUAGAGUACACGUCGCUGGCCGCCAUCCGCGAGCGUCUACCCAACACCAUCACCAUCGGACCACUCAUCUCGUUGUCGUCCUACCUUCCAUCCGUCACAUCGAGUCUGUGGAAAGAGGACAUUGUAUGCACUUCGUGGCUGGACAAGCAGCCGGAUGGCUCUGUGGUGUACGUCAACUUCGGGAGCAUCACGGUCAUGUCGACGGAGCAGAUGGUGGAGUUUGCACGGGGGUUGGAUGGCGCCGGCAGCCCGUUCCUAUGGGUUGUCCGGCCAGAUAUGGUGCGGGAUGGCAGCCUGCCUGAGGAGUUCGUGGAGGAGUUGGCGGGGAGGGGGCUCAUUGUGGGGUGGUGCGACCAGGAGGCGGUUCUGGAGCACCGCGCAACUGGGGCUUUCUUGACCCAUUGCGGGUGGAACUCGACGCUGGAGAGCCUACGCGCUGGUGUGCCAAUGGUAUGUUGGCCAUUCUUCGCUGAGCAGGUGACCAACUGCAGGUACGCAUGUGACGGGUGGGGUGUCGGCAUUGAGAUGGCGCGCCAGGCCGGGCGGGAAGAGGUGCAGGUGGCGGUGAGGGAGCUGAUGGGUGACAGGGCGAUGAGACGGAAGGCGGCAGAGUGGAAGGAGAAGGCAGAGAAGGCAGUCAUGGCGGGUGGUUCGUCGCAUGGGAACCUCGAGAGGUUCAUCCAAGAGAUUGCGCACGUCAAGUGA
This 1419-nucleotide ribosomal RNA is filed under the name Triticum aestivum (bread wheat). Its description in RNAcentral is "partial small subunit ribosomal RNA". Lineage: Eukaryota; Viridiplantae; Streptophyta; Magnoliopsida; Poales; Poaceae. The record is from RNAcentral.